UGCCCAGUAACUCCUAUCCCUACCUCCUCGCGGUACUGGCCGGGGUACGAGUAACCUUAGGGAAGAUCGAGUAACCAACCCCCGGCGGGAACUUUGGUCGUAUGCUGACAGGGAAGG
This is a non-coding RNA of Aedes aegypti (yellow fever mosquito), 117 nucleotides long. The record is from Rfam. NCBI's taxonomy places the organism in Eukaryota, Metazoa, Arthropoda, Insecta, Diptera, Culicidae.